Molecule: ribosomal RNA, 392 nt
Filed under: uncultured bacterium
Lineage: Bacteria
Description: partial 16S ribosomal RNA
Rfam family: Bacterial small subunit ribosomal RNA
Source: RNAcentral
AUACGGAGGAUCCGAGCGUUAUCCGGAUUUAUUGGGUUUAAAGGGUGCGCAGGCGGCCAUUUAAGUCAGCGGUUAAAUCGUGGGGCUCAACCCCAUUCUGCCGUUGAUACUGGGUGGCUUGAUUGCGGUCGAGGUUGGCGGAAUUCGUUGUGUAGCGGUGAAAUGCAUAGAUAUGACGAAGAACACCGAUUGCGUAGGCAGCUGACCAGACCGCAAAUGACGCUCAUGCACGAAAGUGCGGGGAUCGAACAGGAUUAGAUACCCUGGUAGUCCGCACAGUAAACGAUGAUUACCCGCUGUCGGCGGUAGACAGUCGGCGGCCAAGCGAAAGCGAUAAGUAAUCCACCUGGGGAGUACGCCGGCAACGGUGAAACUCAAAUGAAUUGGCGGGG